Molecule: non-coding RNA, 215 nt
Filed under: Alphaproteobacteria bacterium
Lineage: Bacteria; Pseudomonadati; Pseudomonadota; Alphaproteobacteria
Source: RNAcentral
UGUCUGGUUGCACUUACUGGUUGUCCGGCCUCAGGGCCGGACUGAAAAGGGAACGUGGUGCGCGAUCCUAAUCGCAACUCCGCGACUGCCCCCGCAACUGUAAGCGGCGAGUUCGUCUUCAAAAGCCACUGGUAUUGCUUCGGCGCAAUACCGGGAAGGUGAGGAUGAACGCCUGAGCCGUGAGUCAGGAGACCUGCCAGCAGGUGUCGCCCUUU